AGUGAACGCUGGCGGCAGGCCUAACACAUGCAAGUCGAGCGGCAGCGGGUCCUUCGGGCUGCCGGCGAGCGGCGGACGGGCGAGGAAUGCGUCGGAAUCUGCCUUUUUGUGGGGGAUAACGUAGCGAAACUUACGCUAAUACCGCAUACGACCUACGGGUGAAAGUGGGGGACCGCAAGGCCACACGCAGAAAGAUGAGCCGACGACGGAUUAGCUAGUUGGCGGGGUAAAGGCCCACCAAGGCGACGAUCCGUAGCUGGUCUGAGUGGAUGAUCAGCCACACUGGAACUGGGACACGGUCCAGGCUCCUACGGGAGGCAGCAGUGGGGAAUAUUGGACAAUGGGCGCAAGCCUGAUCCAGCCAUGCCGCGUGUGUGGAGAAGGCCUUCGGGUUGGAAAGCACUUUUGUCCGGAAAGAAAUCCUGGCGGCUAAUACCCGGCGGGGAUGACGGUACCGUAAGAAUAAGCACCGGCUAACUUCGUG
This 484-nucleotide ribosomal RNA is filed under the name uncultured bacterium. RNAcentral describes it as "partial 16S ribosomal RNA". It matches the Rfam family "Bacterial small subunit ribosomal RNA", at positions 30 to 507 of the family's 1533-position model. The record is from RNAcentral.